This 329-nucleotide ribosomal RNA is filed under the name uncultured bacterium. RNAcentral's name for it is "bacterial SSU rRNA". It matches the Rfam family "Bacterial small subunit ribosomal RNA", at positions 32 to 342 of the family's 1533-position model. The record is from RNAcentral.
AAUCAACGCUGGCGGCGUGCCUAACACAUGCAAGUCGAGCGGGAAAGGGGCUUCGGCCCCUGAGUAUAGCGGCGGACGGGUGAGUAACACGUGGGUAAUUUGCCCUUGGGUGUGGAAUAACUCAGGGAAACUUGAGCUAAUACCGCAUGACAUCCUCUUCGCACACGAGUUGAGGAUCAAAGCCGGGACCCUUCGGGGCCUGGCGCCUGAGGAGAAGCCCGCGCCCGAUUAGCUAGNGGUGAGGUAAUGGCUCACCAAGGCUACGAUCGGUAGCCGGCCUGAGAGGGCGGGCGGCCACACUGGGACUGAGACACGGCCCAGACUCCUAC